This 3860-nucleotide long non-coding RNA is filed under the name Nicotiana benthamiana. Its description in RNAcentral is "long non-coding RNA (NBEN_LNC027246)". Lineage: Eukaryota; Viridiplantae; Streptophyta; Magnoliopsida; Solanales; Solanaceae. The record is from RNAcentral.
AUAUAAUUUGUUGUAUGCCUUCUUUCCUUUCUGGGCAGAAGGCACUUGUGGACAAAUUCAAAAAGCACUUUAUGCUCUGGCCUCAUUUCACUUUUCUGGACUGCCCUGGCCUCAGGCACCUCUUCAGAUGUGUUGGUGUCACAAAAAUUCCUUGUUAUUUGCAGCUCAGAAGGCAACCCAUCCAAGAAAAGCCACCUCUACCUGGUAUAAUCAUCUAACCCCUCACUAUGAAUACCAAGAAUUUUUCCCAAAUUUUUAGCGUUGAAUUUCACUUUGACACCCCUCACUUUACUGGUUACCAGACCAUUCUUCACCUUUCCAUUGGCCAUGAACUCCACUAGUUCCUUGCUUGCCAAUUUUCCAUCAAUCUUAAGGACCAUGUCCUUCCAGUCUUGUGCCUUUAGUGCUGUGACAAGCCUUAUCAUGCCUGGCUCCUCCAGGUCAUUCAGCAAUCUCCCCUUCAAUAUCUUUCUUUUGUCAAAGUUUUCAUACCUAUUCUAUUCUUCUUCAGACUCAAUUUCAUCAUCAUCUUCUUCUAUGGCUGCUUUCACUUGUUUUCCCUAAGACGUUGAUCUUGUUCUCUUGGCAAGAGAGGAUUCAGCAGGAACUGAUUUUGAGGGAUUCUUUGAAGAAGUCCUAGUGUAUUUUGGUUUUGCAAGUGGAACCCGCACAAUUGUAUUUCUUUCUUGAUGGACUAGUUCCAUCUCCUCUUCAUCCUCCUCAGCUAGAACUUCUGAACUCUCACAUAUCUUCCCUUUCCCUUUUUCUUUUCUUUUUCUCUUGCUCUCAUCUAAAGCUUUCUGCAACUCAGUUUCACUCUCCCUAACCUUGGUUCUAGUUGUCCAAACCCUUGGAACAGUCUUGGGUGUUGAAGGUUUUCUUGGUUGGUAUGGACGCAACAUGGGUUCUUUGUGAGGAAGCCAUGAGUUUCUUGGGAUCAUAAUUGGCCCCAAACUUCUUCAUCAUCGCAAAUAGAGUUUCCUCUACAGAUAGACCAGGUUCAACAGUUUGUUUACUCAAACCAACUAACCCUUCAGCAGCUUCUCCAGACUCUCUUCUCCCUGACUUCGAGGCCCCUUCUUCCCCACUCCCACAUAUAGCUAGCACAUUCUUCCUCUUAUUUUUCUUCAAUUUCACAGAAUCACCCAUAGCAACAUCAUUAAUAGCCCCUAUCAGAACAUACCUAUUUUCUACCAUUUCCCUUAAGUCAUCAUAGACAACACUUGGAUUUACAUCUUUUGGGGUUUCUUGAUGAGUGACAUUGUCAGAAGGCCCAGGUUCAUCUCCUUCACUGGCAGAGAUGUAAUCAUCAGACUCAAAACUGGAAUCAGUUUCUUUUGCUGGAGAUUCUUUCUUUUGACUUGCCUUCAAUCUUUCGUUUAGAGCUUUCCUCAAGGGACCAAUUGCAACAACUUUUUUUGCUAUCAAUUUUGGGCGACGGAAUCUGGGCUUUGUGGUCUUACUAGAAGGUGUGAAUGAUGAGGUGGUGUUAGGUGACACAGGUGGUGGGGUUCCAGGAUUAUCUUGGGGAUUCGACAUUUUUGGUGAAGAAUUUCUGUAAGGCUUGAGAGAAUUUUGGACAACUUUUUAGGGUUUGGAGAAGAGAGUGGAUGAUCAGGGUUUUGAGAUGACGGUUAAAAAUGAUUACUGCGAUUUUUAAAGAGUGGUCACUAUAGCUCUAGGAACGACAUCUUAUCAGGUGUCACCAGAGGUCUAAUCUGCUUAUAGUUCCGGUCUCUGUAGUUAUUUAUUAGGAUUAAAUAGAAUUUCUUAGGUUUAGGAGAUAGAGUUCCGUUACACUUAGAAUUCUAAUUUCAAUAAAACUGGUUUAAUUAGCCCCAACGGAUAGAAUUUUAGAGACGAUUGGGUUUUCUAGGACUCUUGCUCAUGGUUGAAAAUUAAGUUUUUCUAUUUGUGCAAAGUAUAGAAACAUACAUGGCGAUUCUCAUGAGCAUGCAUUGAUGAACCAGGUUCUUCAAAUGAAAUUUCUCUUGAUUUUGCCUCAAAUGUUAGAAUAGAGAAUUUGUAAGAGAUGAAUGAGUCACAUAAACACAUGUCACAGGAGUAUAUUAUUUACACUAUGAGACUGAGUAGAAAUUAGUCUAAUAUUCACAAGAAUUAAAUACUCCUAACCAAUUUUUUUUUCAUUAUGCAUUCUGACAUGACAUUUUAGGUGAUCUUAAUCAUCACUAAUUCCAAUAUGUUCCUCUCAAAGUUUUCUCUACUUAGUGCCUUGGUGAAGAUAUCAUCUAUUUGGUUAUUAGUGGCACAGAAUUCUAUGGAGAUUAGCCCUUUUUCAUAGUUGUCUCUUAAGAAGUGGUGUCUAACAUCUAUGUGCUUGGUCCUUUUAUGACGAACAAGGUUCUUUGUCAUACUGAUUGCACUAGUGUUAUCACAAAAUAUAGGUAUGCAUCCCACUUCAAUUUCAAAAUCUACCAACUGUUGCAACUAGUGUUAUCACAGAAUAUAGGUAUGCAUCCCACUUCAAUUCCAAAAUCUACCAAUUGGUUCUUGAUCCAAAGCAACUGAGCACAACAUGAAGCAGCAGCGACAUACUCAGCUUAAGUAGUAGAGAGGGCCACUGAAUUUUGCUUUUUUGUAGCCCUUGAUACAAGACAAGAUCCUAGGAAGUGUUCCAUACCUGAAGUGCCUUUUUAUCCACCAUAUAACCUGCAUAAUCAGCAUCAGCAUAUCCAAUUAAGUCAAAAUUGCUACCUUUGGGAUACCUCAAGCACAAAUCAGUUUUGCCUUUUAGGUAUCUUAAUAUUCUUUUGACUGUAGUCAUGCGUGACUCCUUUCGAUUUUCCUGGAAACGAGCACAAAGUCCUACACUGAAAACAAUAUUGGGUCUGCUGGCAGUAAAGUACAAAAGUGAACCAAUCAUACCCUGUACAACUUUUGAUCAACUGAUGAACCAGGUUCAUCAGCAUCUAACUUUGUGGCAGUUGCAAUAGGAGUAUAUAUUUCUUUGCAUUCACAUUUUAAAUUUCUUGAUUAGUUCUUUUGUGUACUUCUGCUGAUGAAUCAUGGUACAGUUUGGACUUCGUUUGAUUUGCAAUCCUUAGAAGAAAUUGAGUUCUCCCAUCAUACUCAUUUCAAAUUCACUACCCAUUAGUUUUGCAAAGUCCUUGCUCAACCCCUCUGUAGUUGCCCCAAAAAUUAUGUCAUCGACAUAGAUUUGUACAACAAGAAGGUCUUUACCUUUUUCCCUUAGAAACAAGGUAUCAUCAAUUUUACCUCUUUUGUACCCAUGCUCCAGAAGGAAUUUUGACAAUCUUUCAUCCCAAGCUCUUGGAGCUUGCUUGAGACCAUAAAGAGCCUUAUCCAGCUUGUAUACAUUGUCCGAACAUUCUUUGCUUUCGAAUCCAGGAGGUUUCUUCACAACCACUUCUUCUUUGAGAAAGCCAUCUAGGAAGGAACUUUUCAAAUCCAUUUGAUGAAGAAUGAAUUCCAUAUGUGCUGCAAAGGCUAUGAGAAGUCUAAUUGCUUCAAAUCUAGCAACUGGAGCAAAAGUCUCAUCAUAAUCGAUGCCUUCCUUAUGACUAUUACAUUCAACCACCAACCUUGCCUUAUUUCUUGUAACUGUUCCAUCUCCAUCCAACUUGUUUCUGAAGACCCAUUUUGUCUCGAUGACUGACCUGUCCUUAGGUUUUGGAACCAAGUGCCAGACUUGGCUUUAUUCAAACUGAUUGAGUUCUUCUUGCAUAUCAUUGAUCCAAUCUGCAUCUUGUAGAGCUUCACUCACAUUUUUAGGUGACAAAAAGGAAUCAAAUGCACACAGGUUCUUUAGUUGUGAUCUAGUUUUGACUCCAGAUGUGGGAUCAUUGAUUAUGUUCUCAAUGGGGUGAGAACUCAGGUAC